Long non-coding RNA from Phragmites australis (common reed), 413 nucleotides. RefSeq lists it as uncharacterized. The transcript is spliced from 2 exons. Lineage: Eukaryota; Viridiplantae; Streptophyta; Magnoliopsida; Poales; Poaceae. The record is from RefSeq and is a predicted model, not a curated record.
UCUUCACGACCAAAUCUGGCCCAAUACUGGCCGUCCAGCAGUCCCAGCUAGGGUUUGCCCAUCGGCGCCGCCUAUAAAUCCAAUGCGCCGUAAGUCGCUCUCCCCUCCAGCUCCACACUUCGCCUUGCAAGAAAGAGGAGCACCGGCGAGCGACCUCGACCGACGCGAUGAGGGCCAAGUGGAAGAAGAAGCGGAUGAGGCGGCUCAAGAGGAAGCGCCGAAAGAUGAGGCAGAGGUCCAAGUAGACAGAUCAUGGUGGUGUCUGUGUUUGGUUCGGUCUUUGUUCAAUUGCCGUUUACUGAUCAAUUCUUGUUUCCUUUAGUAGAACAAAGGGUACUGUAAUGUAUCUUAAGUCAUCAACAUUGUUGUCUGCUGUGAUCUGUAAUGAUAUGUGAACUUGUGUUUCCUUUUUA